Liolophura sinensis is the source of this 288-nucleotide long non-coding RNA. RefSeq lists it as uncharacterized. NCBI's taxonomy places the organism in Eukaryota, Metazoa, Mollusca, Polyplacophora, Chitonida, Chitonidae. The transcript has 3 exons. The record is from RefSeq and is a predicted model, not a curated record.
CUGACUGAUGUCCGCCAGGAGGAUAAGGGCAACUAUACCUUGACCGUCUCCUCUGACAUCAACGGAGUAGCCGACACAUCAAGUACCAGAUUUUAUGUUGACGUCACUGAGAAGCCAUCGGCAAAGAAAGACACAUCUGGAAAUCACGCUGGAGCAAACAGUGGGGCGAUUGUUGGAGGGGUGUUAGGCGGUUUCCUCGUUGUUCUUACAUCUAUCUUUACAGUGAUAGUUGUGAUCUUAUGGAGAAGAUCAAAAACGAAAGCUUUACCAGAGGGUACUGAAAACAGG